UAGCCUUGACAUUGAUAGAAUACACCAGAGAUGGAGUAGUGCCUUUCGGGGAACUUGAAAACAGGUGCUGCACGGCUGUCGUCAGCUCGUGUCGUGAGAUGUUGGGUUAAGUCCCGCAACGAGCGCAACCCUCGUCCUUAGUUGCCAGCACGUUAAGCUGGGAACUCUGAAGAGACUGCCCCGGCUAACGGGGAGGAAGGUGGGGAUGAUGUCAAGUCAGCACGGCCCUUAUGUCCCGGGCUACACACGUGCUACAAUGGCCGGUACAGCGGGUUGCAAAGCCGUGAGGUGGAGCCAAUCCCUUAAAACCGGUCUCAGUUCGGAUUGGAGUCUGCAACUCGACUCCAUGAAGUUGGAAUCGCUAGUAAUCGCGGAUCAGCAAUGCCGCGGUGAAUACGUUCCCGGGCCU
This 409-nucleotide ribosomal RNA is filed under the name uncultured bacterium. RNAcentral's name for it is "bacterial SSU rRNA". It matches the Rfam family "Bacterial small subunit ribosomal RNA", at positions 976 to 1381 of the family's 1533-position model. The record is from RNAcentral.